RNAcentral lists this long non-coding RNA (466 nucleotides) under Nicotiana benthamiana. RNAcentral's name for it is "long non-coding RNA (NBEN_LNC038752)". The record is from RNAcentral. Lineage: Eukaryota; Viridiplantae; Streptophyta; Magnoliopsida; Solanales; Solanaceae.
UUGCUGAUUACCCUUUGUAAACAGCGUUUUGUGAGUUUCCUUUUCUUGCUUAUUCUUGUGGCCUCUGCCAGUUACCUUGGUUAUGUUCAUAUGGUUGCUUUUGUCCUUGUAUAUUUUAUCUUUUAUGUUGACAUCCUUGAUUAUUUUCUUGUUAUUAUGAUAUUUGGGUUUCUUGUUUGCAAUCUAUUGAUUUGCGAUGUUAAGAGCUUGAAAGGCAGUGAGAUCCACUCUAAAUGCAAUUUCGAGGGAAUCAAGCGUGCUUUCAGGACAAGCUGGGCGCACUUCCAAGACCUUCGACAAUUACCAACACGAGUCUCUAACCAUCACAGUACAUUAUCUUCUUAUACGAGUUUGCCGGCUGGUUUACCACGCUGACCUUCUUUGUACGUUCAAACACAGAAUAUAGUUGUAAGAAAUUAAGGUUCAAUUCUUAUCCUUCUCUUAUUUAUUGGGUUCUUAUUUAUUG